GCCCCUAGCAAUACACAAGUAUUAGGGGUAAUGCCUGCCCAGUGACACUGUUAAACGGCCGCGGUAUCCUAACCGUGCAAAGGUAGCGUAAUCACUUGUCUUUUAAAUUAAGACUAGAAUGAAUGGCCAAACGAGGUUUUACCUGUCUCUUACAAGUAAUCAGUGAAAUUGGUCUUCCCGUGCAAAAGCGAGAAUGACAUUAUAAGACGAGAAGACCCUGUGGAACUUUAAAUACCCAUCAACUACUACCUAUCUAUAUCUACGGAUUUAAACAAACGUAAUUUUUGAUCCUAUUUUUGGUUGGGGCGACCUCGGAGAACAACAAAACCUCCGAAAAAGAACAUAACAUUUCAAUACCUAGACUUACAAUUCAAAGUGCCUACGGCAAAAUGAUCCAAUAUACUUGAUCAACGAACCAAGCUACCCCAGGGAUAACAGCGCAAUCCCAUCUCAGAGUCCUUAUCGACGAUGGGGUUUACGACCUCGAUGUUGGAUCAGGACAUCCUGAUGGUGCAACCGCUAUCAAGGGUUCGUUUGUUCAACGAUUAACAGUCCUACGUGAU
This 563-nucleotide ribosomal RNA is filed under the name Macrochelys temminckii (alligator snapping turtle). RNAcentral describes it as "partial 16S ribosomal RNA". It matches the Rfam family "Bacterial large subunit ribosomal RNA", at positions 1818 to 2604 of the family's 2925-position model. The record is from RNAcentral. Lineage: Eukaryota; Metazoa; Chordata; Testudines; Chelydridae.